CGAGAGGUGCAGACUCGGCGAACUGCUCAGUAACACGUGGACAUCUGCCUGAAGAAGAGAAUAAUCCCGGGAAACUGGGGGUAAUGCUCUAUAGUCCGGCACGACUGGAAUGUCUGCUGGAUGAAAGAUCCGUCGCUUCAGGAUGAGUCUGCGGCCGAUUAGGUAGUUGUUGGGGUAAAAGCCCAACAAGCCCGUAAUCGGUACGGGUUGUGGGAGCAAGAGCCCGGAGAUGGAUUCUGAGACACGAAUCCAGGCCCUACGGGGCGCAGCAGGCGCGAAAACUUUACAAUGCGGGCAACCGUGAUAAGGAAACCCCGAGUGCCAGCACAGGCUGGCUGUCCUCCAGUGUAAACAACUGGUGAAGAAAGGGCCGGGCAAGACCGGUGCCAGCCGCCGCGGUAAUACCGGCGGCUCGAGUGGUGGCCGCUUUUACUGGGCUUAAAGGGUCCGUAGCUUGAUUCAUGGGUCCCUUGAGAAAUCCAUCGGCUUAACUGAUGGGCGUUCAGGGGAAACUGUGUAUCUAGGGACCGGGAGAGGUGAGAGGUACU
Molecule: ribosomal RNA, 548 nt
Filed under: uncultured Methanospirillum sp.
Lineage: Archaea; Methanobacteriati; Methanobacteriota; Methanomicrobia; Methanomicrobiales; Methanospirillaceae
Description: bacterial SSU rRNA
Rfam family: Archaeal small subunit ribosomal RNA
Source: RNAcentral